CCUCGAUGUCGGCUCAUCACAUCCUGGGGCUGAAGUAGGUCCCAAGGGUAUGGCUGUUCGCCAUUUAAAGUGGUACGCGAGCUGGGUUUAGAACGUCGUGAGACAGUUCGGUCCCUAUCUGCCGUGGGCGCUGGAGAAUUGAGGGGGGCUGCUCCUAGUACGAGAGGACCGGAGUGGACGCAUCACUGGUGUUCGGGUUGUCAUGCCAAUGGCACUGCCCGGUAGCUAAAUGCGGAAGAGAUAAGUGCUGAAAGCAUCUAAGCACGAAACUUGCCCCGAGAUGAGUUCUCCCUGAGACUAUAAGUCUCCUGAAGGAACGUUGAAGACGACGACGUUGAUAGGCCGGGUGUGUAAGCGCAGCGAUGCGUUGAGCUAACCGGUACUAAUGAACCGUGAGGCUUAACCUUACAACGCCGAAG
This 419-nucleotide ribosomal RNA is filed under the name Klebsiella quasipneumoniae subsp. quasipneumoniae. Its description in RNAcentral is "partial 23S ribosomal RNA". It matches the Rfam family "Bacterial large subunit ribosomal RNA", at positions 2524 to 2925 of the family's 2925-position model. Lineage: Bacteria; Pseudomonadati; Pseudomonadota; Gammaproteobacteria; Enterobacterales; Enterobacteriaceae. The record is from RNAcentral.